RNAcentral lists this ribosomal RNA (494 nucleotides) under uncultured bacterium. RNAcentral describes it as "partial 16S ribosomal RNA". It matches the Rfam family "Bacterial small subunit ribosomal RNA", at positions 28 to 507 of the family's 1533-position model. The record is from RNAcentral.
GACGAACGCUGGCGGCGUGCUUAACACAUGCAAGUCGAACGGCGACGUGCCUUCUUGUUUGGUGGGUGUGGGUGAGUGGUGAACGGGUGAGUAUUACGUGAGUAACGUGCUCGCUUCUUCGGGAUAACCGCGGGAAAGUGCGGUGAUGGCGGGAUAUUCCGGCGCAGGCUCAUCCUGGGUCUGGGAAGGUUGUUGUUUGGGUGUGGGAUGGGCACGCGGCCUAUCAGUGGGUUGGUGGCGUGAUGGCAUACCAAGGCGGUGACGGGUAGCCGGCCUGAAGGGGUUGAAGGUCUCACUGGGGCUGAGGCACGGCCCAGACUCCUACGGGAGGCAGCCGUGACUACUACUGCACGAUGGGGGCAAGACUGUUGCAGCAACGCCGCGUGACGGAUGGAGCCAUUCGGGUUGUGAACCUCAUUCGCCAGUGAAGCAGGGCUGCCUCGUCUGUGAGUGGGUUGACGGUAGCUGGAUAAGAAGCGCCGGCUAACUACGUG